UCUAUUGUAGCAAUACGACGGAAAGUUUAGUGGCGAUCGGGUGCGUAACACGUGGGCAAUCUGCCUUAAAGUGUGGAAUAGCUCGGCGAAAGCCGAAUUAAUACCGCAUGUGGCUACUGGAGACAUCUUCGGGACGCUAAAGGUGGCGCAAGCUACCGCUUUUUGAGGAGCCCGCGGCCUAUCAGCUUGUUGGUGAGGUAACGGCUCACCAAGGCGUUGACGGGUAGCUGGUCUGAGAGGACGACCAGCCACACUGGGACUGAGACACGGCCCAGACACCUACGGGUGGCAGCAGUCGAGAAUUUUUGACAAUGGGGGAAACCCUGAUCGAGCGACGCCGCGUGGAGGAUGAAGGUCUUCGGGUUGUAAACUCCUGUCAUUUGGGAACAAGGCGUAUUUAUUAACUGUAAGUGCGUUGAUAGUACCAGAAGAGGAAGAGACGGCUAACUCUGUGCCAGCAGCCGCGGUAAUACAGAGGUCUCAAGCGUUGUUCGGAUUCAUUGGGCGUAAAGGGUGUGUAGGUGGCGCGCUAAGUCGGGUGUGAAAUUUCGGAGCUUAACUCCGAAACUGCAUUCGAUACUGGCGUGCUUGAGGACUGGAGAGGAGACUGGAAUUCACGGUGUAGCA
RNAcentral lists this ribosomal RNA (627 nucleotides) under uncultured Verrucomicrobiota bacterium. Its description in RNAcentral is "bacterial SSU rRNA". It matches the Rfam family "Bacterial small subunit ribosomal RNA", at positions 70 to 680 of the family's 1533-position model. The record is from RNAcentral. Lineage: Bacteria; Pseudomonadati; Verrucomicrobiota.